UACGUAGGGAGCAAGCGUUGUUCGGAUUUACUGGGCGUAAAGGGCGCGUAGGCGGCAAUUCAAGUCAGCUGUGAAAUCUCCGGGCUUAACUCGGAACGGUCAGCUGAUACUGCUUUGCUAGAGUGCGGAAGGGGCAAUCGGAAUUCUCGGUGUAGCGGUGAAAUGCGUAGAUAUCGAGAGGAACACCUGAGGUGAAGACGGGUUGCUGGGCCGACACUGACGCUGACAGCGCGAAAGCCAGGGGAGCAAACGGG
RNAcentral lists this ribosomal RNA (254 nucleotides) under uncultured bacterium. Its description in RNAcentral is "partial 16S ribosomal RNA". It matches the Rfam family "Bacterial small subunit ribosomal RNA", at positions 524 to 776 of the family's 1533-position model. The record is from RNAcentral.